Molecule: ribosomal RNA, 964 nt
Filed under: Klebsiella quasipneumoniae subsp. similipneumoniae
Lineage: Bacteria; Pseudomonadati; Pseudomonadota; Gammaproteobacteria; Enterobacterales; Enterobacteriaceae
Description: bacterial SSU rRNA
Rfam family: Bacterial small subunit ribosomal RNA
Source: RNAcentral
GGGAAGAGGGCUCGGCUACCAUGCAGUCGAGCGGUAGCACAGAGAGCUUGCUCUCGGGUGACGAGCGGCGGACGGGUGAGUAAUGUCUGGGAAACUGCCUGAUGGAGGGGGAUAACUACUGGAAACGGUAGCUAAUACCGCAUAAUGUCGCAAGACCAAAGUGGGGGACCUUCGGGCCUCAUGCCAUCAGAUGUGCCCAGAUGGGAUUAGCUAGUAGGUGGGGUAACGGCUCACCUAGGCGACGAUCCCUAGCUGGUCUGAGAGGAUGACCAGCCACACUGGAACUGAGACACGGUCCAGACUCCUACGGGAGGCAGCAGUGGGGAAUAUUGCACAAUGGGCGCAAGCCUGAUGCAGCCAUGCCGCGUGUAUGAAGAAGGCCUUCGGGUUGUAAAGUACUUUCAGCGGGGAGGAAGGCGAUAAGGUUAAUAACCUUGUCGAUUGACGUUACCCGCAGAAGAAGCACCGGCUAACUCCGUGCCAGCAGCCGCGGUAAUACGGAGGGUGCAAGCGUUAAUCGGAAUUACUGGGCGUAAAGCGCACGCAGGCGGUCUGUCAAGUCGGAUGUGAAAUCCCCGGGCUCAACCUGGGAACUGCAUUCGAAACUGGCAGGCUAGAGUCUUGUAGAGGGGGGUAGAAUUCCAGGUGUAGCGGUGAAAUGCGUAGAGAUCUGGAGGAAUACCGGUGGCGAAGGCGGCCCCCUGGACAAAGACUGACGCUCAGGUGCGAAAGCGUGGGGAGCAAACAGGAUUAGAUACCCUGGUAGUCCACGCCGUAAACGAUGUCGAUUUGGAGGUUGUGCCCUUGAGGCGUGGCUUCCGGAGCUAACGCGUUAAAUCGACCGCCUGGGGAGUACGGCCGCAAGGUUAAAACUCAAAUGAAUUGACGGGGGCCCGCACAAGCGGUGGAGCAUGUGGUUUAAUUCGAUGCAACGCGAAGAACCUUACCUGGUCUUGACAUCACA